GCGCCUGUGAGGGUUCGGCUGAGGUAGUAAAGCGCUCCUUCUUUCUGGGAUUCAUUCUCUUGCGCCAAGAGUGCUCCAACUGAACUUUCUUGAGCGGCGAUGUACAAUAUGAGUGGUUUCCCGGGCACAGGCGCCCCCAAGACAGGUGGACUUGACAAAUACUUUUUUAUGCUUUCAAAAGCAUUGUGGCAUGCUUCGUCCC
This 202-nucleotide long non-coding RNA is filed under the name Malus domestica (apple). RNAcentral's name for it is "long non-coding RNA (MDOM_LNC020017)". The record is from RNAcentral. Lineage: Eukaryota; Viridiplantae; Streptophyta; Magnoliopsida; Rosales; Rosaceae.